This is a long non-coding RNA of Vidua chalybeata, 870 nucleotides long. RefSeq lists it as uncharacterized. The transcript has 2 exons. NCBI's taxonomy places the organism in Eukaryota, Metazoa, Chordata, Aves, Passeriformes, Viduidae. The record is from RefSeq and is a predicted model, not a curated record.
CGUGCGGGGACCCCCCGGGCCGUGCGGGGUCCCCCGGGCCGUGCAGGAGCGCGGGGGCGACAGGAAGCGGCGUUCGGGAAGGGCUCGGGGCUGCUGGCGCUGCGUCAGCCCGGUCCCCGCCGGACCGGUCCGGCCGGGUGCUGCUGCCGCGUCCCGGGCGAAGCCGCCGUCACCCAGUGCCCGAGUCAUCCAUGGGAUACGUCCCAGCCCACCUCGGGACCCCCAGGUGUGGGGAGCAGGAGGAUUCUGCCCCGGUGAGGAUGAGGAGGGAGCAUCCUGCACCCCCGCUGCCCGCACGGUUCCCUGCUACGUCUGGCAGCGAGCGCUGCCAGGCGGGGAUUCUCAGCUCCGAAGGGAGGUGAGAGACAGAGCUUCCACCGCCCCUGCAAGAAGAAGGGAAUUCAUGGCUGAGCGCCGAGCGGGAGAUCCGGAGCGCAGCGAGAGAGCUCUCGGCACAAGGAAAUGGGCGCACGGCACAGCACGGCACGACAUGGCAGGGCAGGGCAGAGCGCGGCUGAGGCGUCAGCCAGAAAUCUCAUUCACGCUCCCCUCUCGGUCAAGGUCGAGGGAAGCGCGACGAUGCCUCCACCAUGUAACCCAUCGCUUCCUGCAGCCUCGCUCCUGCAUCCCACCUCCAUGUCCCCAGCCAGUCACUCUGCAUCCCACCUCUGCAGCCCUGGCACUGCCCCGCACUCCCAGGCGUGAUGGAUGCAGCCUGCACAUCCAGCGGCUCAGCAGGGCCUCUCCUACCCUGAGCUCCUGGAUCCCACAGCAGCAGUACAUGGACGGUGGAGGCAGCCAUGAAAAGACCAGUCUGGAUUUUAUUAAAAGUUCAGCACCAGUAAAUAUAUAAAAAGAGCAACUGUGCAA